Molecule: long non-coding RNA, 233 nt
Filed under: Elaeis guineensis (African oil palm)
Lineage: Eukaryota; Viridiplantae; Streptophyta; Magnoliopsida; Arecales; Arecaceae
Description: long non-coding RNA (EGUI_LNC026575)
Source: RNAcentral
AUUCACUGAAUAGCCACCUUGCUUAAGCCUUGAAGUAAUGAUUAAUUGCUUCAAUCCACCUUAUCCACAGAGGUGGAAGGCCUCUGUUUUCGAACAUGGUAAAAAUAAAUCAGUUUAGCUUAUCGAAAGCUUUUUCAAAAUCCAAUAUGAAUCCUUUCUUGUCUCUCUUCCAUUAAUGUAAAAUCUCAUGAGCAAAUAAGAACUUAUCCAUUGUAGAUCUGACUGUAACGGAA